This 71-nucleotide transfer RNA is filed under the name Camelus bactrianus (Bactrian camel). It matches the Rfam family "tRNA". Rfam says of the family: Transfer RNA (tRNA) molecules are approximately 80 nucleotides in length. Their secondary structure includes four short double-helical elements and three loops (D, anti-codon, and T loops). Lineage: Eukaryota; Metazoa; Chordata; Mammalia; Artiodactyla; Camelidae. RNAcentral also lists the same sequence under 1 other name. The record is from Rfam by way of RNAcentral.
GAGGGUGUAGCUCAGUGGUAGAGCAUAUGCUCAGCAUGCAUGAGGUCCUGGUUCAAUCCCCAGUACUUCCA